GAUGAACGCUGGCGGCGUGCCUAAUACAUGCAAGUCGAGCGAACAGACGAGGAGCUUGCUCCUCUGACGUUAGCGGCGGACGGGUGAGUAACACGUGGAUAACCUACCUAUAAGACUGGGAUAACUUCGGGAAACCGGAGCUAAUACCGGAUAAUAUAUUGAACCGCAUGGUUCAAUAGUGAAAGACGGUUUUGCUGUCACUUAUAGAUGGAUCCGCGCCGCAUUAGCUAGUUGGUAAGGUAACGGCUUACCAAGGCAACGAUGCGUAGCCGACCUGAGAGGGGGAUCGGCAACACGGGAACGGAGACCGGGCCCAGCUCCCUAGGGGAGCAAGCAGUAGGGAAUCUCCGGCAAUGGGCGAAAGCUGGCGGGAGCACCGCGGCGGGAGUGAUGAAGGUCUCCGGACCGUAAACCUCGGUUAUUAGGGAAGACAAAAUGUGAAGGUAACAAGCCCCGUUUGGAGGGUACUUAACCAGAAAGCAACGGUUAACUACGU
RNAcentral lists this ribosomal RNA (496 nucleotides) under uncultured bacterium. Its description in RNAcentral is "partial 16S ribosomal RNA". It matches the Rfam family "Bacterial small subunit ribosomal RNA", at positions 28 to 506 of the family's 1533-position model. The record is from RNAcentral.